This 377-nucleotide ribosomal RNA is filed under the name uncultured Smithella sp. RNAcentral's name for it is "bacterial SSU rRNA". It matches the Rfam family "Bacterial small subunit ribosomal RNA", at positions 1005 to 1382 of the family's 1533-position model. Lineage: Bacteria; Pseudomonadati; Thermodesulfobacteriota; Syntrophia; Syntrophales; Smithellaceae. The record is from RNAcentral.
AACAAAGUCGUCCGUUCGGGAACCAGGAGACAGGUGCUGCAUGGCUGUCGUCAGCUCGUGUCGUGAGAUGUUGGGUUAAGUCCCGCAACGAGCGCAACCCUUAUCUUUAAUUGCCAGCAUUCAGGUUGGGCACUUUAAAGAGACUGCCGGUGUUAAACCGGAGGAAGGUGGGAUGACGUCAAGUCCUCAUGGCCUUUAUGCUUAGGGCUACACACGUGCUACAAUGGGUGGUACAAAGAGAAGCCAACUCGCGAGAGCGCGCCAAUCUCAAAAAGCCAUCCUCAGUUCGGAUUGGAGUCUGCAACUCGACUCCAUGAAGUUGGAAUCGCUAGUAAUCGCGGAUCAGCAUGCCGCGGUCGAAUACGUUCCCGGGCCUU